UCGAGGGGCAGCGGGGGUGCAGGCUUGCCUGCACCUGCCGGCGACCGGCGCUUAGGUGAGUAACACGUAUGGAACCUGCCCGCCACAGGGGGAUAACCCGGGGAAACCCGGCCUAAUACCCCAUGCCGCCCGGACCGGGCAUCCGGACCGGGCGAAAGGAGGAAUCCGGUGGCGGCUGGGCAUGCGGCGCAUUAGCUUGACGGCGGGGUAACGGCCCACCGUGGCGACGAUGCGUAGGGGUUCUGAGAGGAAGGCCCCCCACACUGGAACUGAGACACGGUCCAGACUCCUACGGGAGGCAGCAGUGAGGAAUAUUGGUCAAUGGGCGGAAGCCUGAACCAGCCAAGUCGCGUGAGGGAAUAAGGCCCUACGGGUCGUAAACCUCUUUUGCCGGGGAGCAAGGGCCGGGACGAGUCCCGGCCCGGAGAGUACCCGGAGAAAAAGCAUCGGCUAACUCCGUGCCAGCAGCCGCGGUAAUACGGAGGAUGCGAGCGUUAUCCGGAUUUAUUGGGUUUAAAGGGUGCGUAGGCGGGCUUUUAAGUCAGCGGUAAAAAUUCGGGGCUCAACCCCGUCCGGCCGUUGAAACUGGGGGCCUUGAGUGGGCGAGAAGAAGGCGGAAUGCGUGGUGUAGCGGUGAAAUGCAUAGAUAUCACGCAGAACCCCGAUUGCGAAGGCAGCCUUCCGGCGCCCUACUGACGCUGAGGCACGAAAGUGCGGGGAUCGAACAGGAUUAGAUACCCUGGUAGUCCGCACAGUAAACGAUGGAUGCCAGCUGUCCG
RNAcentral lists this ribosomal RNA (779 nucleotides) under uncultured bacterium. Its description in RNAcentral is "bacterial SSU rRNA". It matches the Rfam family "Bacterial small subunit ribosomal RNA", at positions 62 to 826 of the family's 1533-position model. The record is from RNAcentral.